CUCAGAAGUUUCAUAGAGUGAGCAAAAGAAUACCCUGAAGAGGAAGGAAACUUUUUAAAAGGUGGACUCACUCUACUUGUGGUGGGGCGUACUCACUGGCAUUGACCUCCACCCUCCCAUUCCCUAUCCUUUGGGCCUCUUGUCGCUUUCCUGUCUGGCUCACUCAGUUGGCUCAGUUGCCCCUCUAUGACUCCCCCCA
This 199-nucleotide long non-coding RNA is filed under the name Fukomys damarensis (Damara mole-rat). RNAcentral describes it as "lncRNA (ENSFDAG00000021875.1)". Lineage: Eukaryota; Metazoa; Chordata; Mammalia; Rodentia; Bathyergidae. The record is from RNAcentral.